Misgurnus anguillicaudatus (oriental weatherfish) is the source of this 683-nucleotide non-coding RNA. The record is from RefSeq and is a predicted model, not a curated record. NCBI's taxonomy places the organism in Eukaryota, Metazoa, Chordata, Actinopteri, Cypriniformes, Cobitidae.
AGACGGUUAUCUGCGCAUGCGCAGGUGUUUGUGCCGCGACGCGAGGGGCGCUAUAAUCGACUAAUUAAAAUUAACGUAAACUGCCCGUGUUUACUGCUAGUUCUCAUUAUCACCUUAUCAACUGUCAUCGCGGAGCAGCAGUUUGAAGGUAUACUGACAGACCAUCAGGCUCAGCGUGCAGAACACCGAAUUUCAUCAGAAGCACAAUUGUUCAUCUGUGUAGCCGAAAUAUAUGAAAGGCAUGUGUUAGUGUUCACUCCUCCUUUAAUGAGUUCGACUUCAGGACAUCAGCCCACCCCACGAUUUCUACAGUUUUUUUUCCUACUUUGCUGUCUCAGACUCCAGCAAACUCCUAGUGUUGAUGUGGCAGUACUUUAGCAACAGUGGAGGAAGAAAAGAAAGGUGUUUCCAAGAAGAAGGCUCAGCUUUAAUGGCAUAUCCAGAAAGCCAUAGCGAUCAGACUCCAAAUCGACAAGAGAGAUUCCAGCUUUCCACCUCUUUGACAAAAUAAGGGAAAUUGAGACAGAAUUCAUUAAUCUCUUGAGAAGUGACAGCUAUUAAAACGGUUUAAGAGUUCUUGACAGAUGAAAACACCCCCCGACCAUAACAUGUAUCACUCUAAAAUAACAGAUGUGCCUAUGCGCUGGAUUUAAGGAGUAGCAGGUUUGCCAAGCCUAGAAAAG